This 227-nucleotide non-coding RNA is filed under the name Sarcina ventriculi. RNAcentral's name for it is "Clostridium ventriculi T-box sequence". It matches the Rfam family "T-box leader". Rfam says of the family: Uncharged tRNA acts as the effector for transcription antitermination of genes in the T-box leader family. T-boxes are found upstream of many aminoacyl-tRNA synthetase genes and some amino acid biosynthetic genes usually in Gram-positive bacteria. Lineage: Bacteria; Bacillati; Bacillota; Clostridia; Eubacteriales; Clostridiaceae. The record is from RNAcentral.
AAUUUAGCUGUGAAGAAGAAGAGUAUAUAGAAAUUUAGUUUUAAAGAGAGUUAAAUAUUUUGCUGAGAAUUUAACAUACUAAACUAUAGAAGGAAGCUUUUGAGCUAUAAGUUUAGCCUAAAACUAGGGCAAAAACUAUGGGUUCUCCCAUUAAAGAGAAAAUAAGUGGAUUAAUUAGUUUUAAUCAAUUUAGGUGGUAACGCGGAAUAUAGUCUUUCGUCCUAAAG